CAUCACAGGUUACAGAGAGUCAGCUACUGUUGUGUUAUAGUACAUUUUUCGCAUUUUGUUCUAGUAAACACACAAGCUGAAGUCCGGUUCCACAUACAAACAGCUGAUUGGAUUCCUGAAGAUGCGCGACAAAAGAUUAUUUCUCAGAUCGCCUCACCAUUACCUACUGUCGAAGCAGUGGCCCUGGAGGCCAGAAUGUUAAUAAAGUAAACACACAAGCUGAAGUCCGGUUUCACAUACAAACAGCUGAU
This is a long non-coding RNA of Acipenser ruthenus (sterlet), 251 nucleotides long. RefSeq lists it as uncharacterized. The transcript has 3 exons. The record is from RefSeq and is a predicted model, not a curated record. Lineage: Eukaryota; Metazoa; Chordata; Actinopteri; Acipenseriformes; Acipenseridae.